RNAcentral lists this transfer RNA (79 nucleotides) under Candidatus Bathyarchaeota archaeon. RNAcentral's name for it is "tRNA-Thr". It matches the Rfam family "tRNA". From Rfam's summary of the family: Transfer RNA (tRNA) molecules are approximately 80 nucleotides in length. Their secondary structure includes four short double-helical elements and three loops (D, anti-codon, and T loops). Lineage: Archaea; Thermoproteati; Candidatus Bathyarchaeota. The record is from RNAcentral.
GCCCUGAUAGUAUAGUCCGGUUUGGCACCAUGCGCGGGUGGCCCGGUGGACGCGGGUUCAAAUCCCGCUCAGGGCGCCA